RNAcentral lists this unclassified non-coding RNA (684 nucleotides) under Hevea brasiliensis (rubber tree). The record is from RNAcentral. Lineage: Eukaryota; Viridiplantae; Streptophyta; Magnoliopsida; Malpighiales; Euphorbiaceae.
UGUCUUAUUGUUGCUUUGAAGCAUUCAAAAUUCUUGCUCAGAAUUAUUUAGAUAUCGAAUCCCAUGAGCUGUUUGCAAAAAUUGGCCAAUUGUUGGAGGAAACGAAAAUGUCACCAGCUGAUGUUGCAGAGAAUUUGAUGCCAAAGUCAGAUGAUGAAGACGAAGAGACUUGUCUUAAGAAGUUGAUUGCUGCUCUGGAGACAAUAGAGGAAGAAGCAAAACUGAAAGAAGCAAGGAAGAAGUCUGAGGAAGAUGCAAAUUCGAAAACGGAACAAGAAUUGAAAGAGAAAGACCAAUUACCUAAAGAAGAUGAGAGGGACGAUAAUGACGUAUCUAAAGAAAUCAAAGAUAAUGGAUUGAUUUCAAACGGGAAGAAGGAGACUUCCCUUUGAAUACCAAUUGGGUAGUUGCAGAAUGUAGAUUUGUAUGCAAGUCAUCAUGAAUAACUAGAUUCGUAUGUAAGUGAUCAUGAAUAACAAAGUCACAAAUAUACAUCAGAAUGUAGAUUCCUAUUCCUGCUCUCAAGGCCUUUACUUCAAGGGGCUUUAUCUCGAGCUCUGUAUUUUCAAGCAAGCGAGUUUCAACUCUAAACCUAACUUGGUGUUUGAUGUGCUUCUUUAAUUUUAGGUGCCCUCUUCUCAAAAAUUAAGGAGUUGGAUUUGUAAGCUAUGAUCACACACAAAG